UGUAGCAAAUAAGCCACUCCGCUUCCCGGUGACAAUAGGGAGGCUGUGCAGGGGGAGGGGGCACUGGCCUCUGCGUUUCUCAAUUUUGCUGUGAACCCAAAAUCGUCCUAAAAAAGUAGUACGGUGCUGAAUGCCCCAGGGCCUUCCCUAGUUCUCCUAGCCAUUCAACAGACAUGACUGAGCUUAGGAGCUCAUCUCAGAAAGGGCCCUGUGAACCCUGAAGCCAGCAUUUCCAUUGAGGAUACCGAUGGAGCACCCACCAUGUGCAAGCCCCUGUGUGAACACUUUGGACCAUCCUGUCUGGCCCGGUGGCUUCUUUCCCAAGCUGGAGCCUGAGAAUCUGCUCUCACUCAAACCUGCCCCUCCCCCUGCUCCCCAGCUUCUAGCCUCAAAUACCACCCUCUUCCUCUGGUGGUUGGUUCCUCAAAAUUACCACCCUGUCUCACUACUGGCCUGCCUCAGCAAGGUGCAGGGUGUCAUUAGCAGUUGAUUAAAUACCAGAGCUUGCGGUGGUUUGCA
Molecule: long non-coding RNA, 519 nt
Organism: Canis lupus familiaris (dog)
Lineage: Eukaryota; Metazoa; Chordata; Mammalia; Carnivora; Canidae
Exons: 2
Source: RefSeq, a predicted model, not a curated record